RNAcentral lists this ribosomal RNA (406 nucleotides) under uncultured bacterium. RNAcentral describes it as "partial 16S ribosomal RNA". It matches the Rfam family "Bacterial small subunit ribosomal RNA", at positions 30 to 526 of the family's 1533-position model. The record is from RNAcentral.
AUUGAACGCUGGCGGCAGGCCUAACACAUGCAAGUCGAGCGAGCGGAGGACGGGUGAGUAAUGUCUGGGAAACUGCCUGAUGGAUGGGGAUAACUACUGGAAACGGUAGCGAAUCACGCAUACACUAAGAUGUGCGCAGAUGGGAUUAGCUAGUAGGUGGGGUAAUGGCUCACCUAGGCGACGAUCCCUAGCUGGUCUGAGAGGAUGACCAGCACACUUGGAACUGAGCAACGGCCCAAACUCCUACGGGAGGAAGCAGUGGGGAAUCUUCCACAUUGGGCGAAAGCCUGAUGCAGCACUGCCGCGUGGAUGAAGAAGGCUUUCGGGUUGUAAAGUUCUUUCAUCGGGGAGGCGGUACUCGAAUAGGAAGCCCCGGCUAACUCCGUGCCAGCAGCCGCGGUAAUUC